CAAUCCUUCGCCGGUGCCGUCGAUCCAAAUAUACGUAGCUUGGAUUUGAUCAUCCCGUUGAGGCAGAUCCAAAUACUUCUUGAGCAAACCCUUGUCUAAGGCCGCGUUCGGCGAUUCCUUCAGCAUGGUACGCGACAUCGUGACGCUGCAAACAAUCAAUAGGAUCUCUAUUAGCGGAAUGAAGCCUGAACAUCGUUGAAAUUCGGGUGAAAAUGAACGCACAUAUAAUACCGCUUACAGUUUAGACGACUGACUAGCAACAACUGCUUUUAAUUUGGAAGUUCUCUUUUUUGGAAGUUUUUUUAAUUUGGAAGUACAACAAAGUCUCUCUAAUACGAUUACACUUGCUCACAUUGUCCCUGUGCUAUUCCUACGCCUAUGCUAAGGUCCGACGGAGCCAGUCAAGCGUAUAUGACGCGGCACGCGACGCGGCUCCUUUGACUAAACGUAUUCUUUGAACUGUUUGCCUGGAGCUGUUCCGUCCACGGAAGACGAGUGGGGGACAAACAAUGUCCCCACGUGGCCACGGCACAAGAACAACAGAGAGACUUGCUACCGUAUCUGUUCCUGCAUCGGCAAAGGAGCAUAGAAGGGGAAGAGUCGACGUUUGGGGGGCUCCUUACGUAGAUGGUCUAGGAGUCCUAGACCAACGUUCUAACUUGGCCGCAUGAAAACAGUGGAGUCGGAGAAAGGUUUUUGGUGCAGUGGCCGCGCUCGCGUUAAAAGAUUGCCUCGAUUUAUUCUCGGUGCGCCAGAAAGAGGUGCGCCCACGUAUCACGCAGUUCGCAUGUAGCAUCACGCGGCACGCACGCCGCCGCCGCGUGUACUCCGAGCGUAUACGUCGCUUCGCGUCGAUCUCUUCCAUGCGUCGACAGUCGCACAAUGCUGAAAACGCGAUUUUAGCUGAACAAAAUGAUUUGUAUUAUAUCCUUCUACAAGAAUGUGUACAUUUAAACGUGGAAUCGAUAUCCAGACUUCUCUACACAUCUAUGAGCGCAGACGAAUACAUCUCCUGAUUCGCGAUUAAGCGUGGCGUGGCAAAGCGUCAGGAACCAGUCUGCUUUUGAUUUCACGAGUGAUGCGUGAUCGUUCGGCACUUGUUUCGAGAGUGUCAUGGAGCGCGGGUUCAGGGGCGUACGAACUGAACUGGCCCUAACAAAAAUAAAAUAAAAUAGAUUUUAUUGUAGUAUGUAUUUAUUUUAUGAUUUAUGCGUUUACAUUUGUCACAUGAAGUACAUAAUAAUGGAAAUAUCUGAAGAUUUAAAAAAAAAUUCGAUUAUUUGUAAGUUA
This is a long non-coding RNA of Megalopta genalis, 1290 nucleotides long. RefSeq lists it as uncharacterized. Lineage: Eukaryota; Metazoa; Arthropoda; Insecta; Hymenoptera; Halictidae. The record is from RefSeq and is a predicted model, not a curated record.